RNAcentral lists this long non-coding RNA (5506 nucleotides) under Elaeis guineensis (African oil palm). Its description in RNAcentral is "long non-coding RNA (EGUI_LNC029116)". The record is from RNAcentral. Lineage: Eukaryota; Viridiplantae; Streptophyta; Magnoliopsida; Arecales; Arecaceae.
AUGAAUCUUUAAUGAGAAAAAAAGAGGGAAAGUUAGUUGGUGAGUUGUCAUUCUGUUGGCUGCCAUUCUGUUAGAAGUUAGUUAGAAUUUUAUUCCAUCAUAAUUUAUACAUAAUUCAUUAUAAAUAUUUUUAUCAUGAGCUGAGACUCAUAACGAUAAUUCUUAAAUUUCCACUAUGUUUCUUCUCUCUCUUUCUAUCUUUAAUUUUUAAAAUUUUCUCAAUUGUUCUCGAGAAUUAUUCUCCACAAUUUUUCAAUUCUCCUAAUAAAUUGAGAUAGAAUUAUUUGAAUUUUCCUCAAAUUCCUGUGAUUCUAAUUUUAGUGUAUCAAAGUGGUAUCAGAGCCGUCGCUACCUUGGCCUGAGCUUUAACAGUGGCGGAAGAUGCUAGGAGCCACGCCAUUAAAGUGAUGGAAGAAGCUUUCAAUAAGAAGAGCAAUAUCUUGGAUGCCAAAAUAGAGCAGAUGCUUAGUGUCAUGAAGGAUCAUUUGUUAGAAGCCAUUUAAAAGAAACACGAAGAUGAAAAUUCUGGGGGUGUUUUCACCUAUAAUGCUGAGAGCACACCAGAUACUCGACGAAUUGCUUCACGGAAUGAUCAAGAAGGUAAUUUUUCUGGAUCUUCAUAUUCAUGUGUAAUUAGGCUGUCCAAGAUUGAUUUUUUCCGCUUUAAUAGUAAGAAUGUGAAGGAAUUGGUCUACAAAUGUGAUCAAUUUUUUCUAAUUGAUAAUAUCCCAGAAGAGAUGAAGAUUAAACUAGCUGCCAUCCACAUGGAAGGCAAGGCACUACAAUGGCAUCAUGUCUUUGUAAAGACAAUGCUUACCAUAUCUUUGUCUUCUUGAAAGGAGUACGUUAAAGUAGUUAGUGAUUGAUUUGGUGAGGUCUAUGAUGAUCCUAUGUCAGAGCUAAAAACCUUGCAUCGAAUUGGGUCGGUUAAAGAUUACCAUGACCAAUUUGACUCGGUUCUUACAAGGGUCAGUUUACCUGAAGAAUAUUUGGUAAGUUAUUUUGUGACUGGGUUGAGACAUGAUACUCAAAUGCAUGUUAGGAUAUUUUAGCCAAAAUCUAUUAGGCAUGCUUAUGCUUUUGCUAAGCUCUAUGAGGCUGCUUAUCCUUAUUUUGUUUCUGACUUGAAAUACAAUUCCUCUACCUCACCUAUAAAUCAAAAUAUUCACUUGAAUAUGGCCCCUUUUCAUAGAACAGAUUUGAAACCUUAUAUAAACUCACCAUACCUUUUUGUUAAACCACCAAAUAAAUCUACCAGACCUCCACUUUUACCUAAGUCCACAUUAGCUACAAGUUUCCACAAACCUUUGACCAUGGCUGGCAUCUUUCCCUUUUCCUUUAGGUGCGGGUGGUUGAGGAACGCCUAUCCUCUUUUUUACACUUCUAGCUAUACUGUGAAAGAUGGAACCAGCUUUUCUAGUAGUUACAAAUAUGCCCUUCUUGAAAUAGACCAAGCUUUCCCAUCUAAAGUCCAUCAUUUGUAAGGUUGAUAAAAAUGAGAUUAAAUGAAUGAAAAAAAAAAGCCAAAGAGAUUGUGCUUUAUCAGUGAUGAACCAUAUACACCUAGCCACCAUUUGAAGCAUAAGAAAGCCCAGUUGUAUUUCAUGGAGAUUGAGUAUGAAGAGGAAGAUGGUGUUGCAGAUAUAGAAUCCUUAGUGGUUCCAGGAGACACUGUUGGACUGGCUGAUGUUCCAAAAAUUUUUGUGAAUGCACUAUCCAGGGUAUCAAUAUAUCAAACUAUGAGAGUCACUGGUUAUCAUCACAAGAAGGCUUUGCAUAUUCUUAUAGAUAGUGGCAUCACUUGCAAUUUUCUAGAUGACAAGAUAGCUCAAAAAUUGGAGUGUCAAUUCACAACCAUUGAUCCUCUACCAGUAGCAGUAGCAGAUGGAAGCCAACUCAUGGUUACUGCUCAAGUUAAGGGGUUUCAAUGGCAAACUUGGAUGACCACCUUUCAGGCUGAUGUUAUGGUCCUACCUCUUGGGUGUUGUGAUGUUGUAUUGGGUGUGCAAUGACUGGCUACAUUAGGUCCUAUCAAUUGGGACUUCAGCAAGCUUCCCAUGAAAUUUUUAGUGGUGGGCAAAAAAUAUGUUUUUAGAGGCUCUUCAUAGUCUUCCCUUAAGUGCAUUAAGCAUCAGCACCUGAACAAACUGCUAGUUCAUGGGGCUUAGCUUGCACUUAUUCAAAUUUUUCCUACCGCCUCUAUUGGAGAAUUAAUGCAGCUAUGUUCUAUCCAUGCUCAUUCUGAUAUUAAUAUCAUACCUACUGCUAUUUCUUAUUGCUUGAGUGCAAUGAUAUCUUUGAAGAACCAAAAGCUCUUCCUCCCUUUAGACUUGGUCAUGAUCAUAAAAUUUCCUUGAUGGAAGGUUCCAAUCCAAUCAAUAAAAGAUCUUACAGAUAGGGUACAUGCCAAAAAGAUGUCAUUGAAAAUUUGGUGAAUGAGAUGCUACAGUCUGGAGCAAUCCAACCUAGCUCUAGUCCCUAUGUUUCACGAGUGGUGUUGCUGGGAAAAAAGGAUGGCUCUUGGUGCUUGUGUGGACUAUAGGGAGCUUAAUAAAAAUACAAUCAAGGAUAAAUUUCCUAUUCCCUUGGUUGAAGACCUCAUAUAUGAGUUAGAGGGUGUUGCAGUAUUUAUCAAGAUUGACUUAAAGGUAGGUUACCAUCAGCUUAGGAUGGAUCCUGCAGAUGUGUUCAAGAUUGUCUUUAAAACCUACCUAGGGCAUUUUGAGUAUAUGGUUAUGCCCUUUGGCUUGACAAAUGCCCCCUCCACCUUCCAACACUUGAUGAAUACCAUCUUUCAGCCUUAUUUGAAAAAGUUUGUCUUGAUUUUCUUUGAUGAUAUUUUGGUCUAUAGUAUUGAUUUGGAGGCCCAUGUACAUCAUUUGUCCUUGGUGCUUUCUCUCUUAAGGCAACACAGUUUAUUUGUCAAGAAAAGCAAGUGUUCUUUUGUUGCUCCAAAGGUAGAAUACCUAGGAUAUUUCAUUUCUAAGGAUAGUAUUUCUAUUGAUCCUGCUAAAAUUGUUGCUGUUCAACAAUGGCCUCUUCCCACCAAUAUUAAGCAAUUAAGAGAUUUUCUAGGCUUGACGGGCUACUAUAGAAGAUUUAUCAAGAAUUACAGACAACUUGCCAAACCUCUUACCACUGUCCUGAAAGAAGAUAAUUUUGAUUGGAACCCUAUAGCCACUCUUGCCUUUGAACAAUUGAAAGCUACCCUCACAUCUAUUCCUGUUCUUGUUUUGCUUGAUUUUGCCAAGUCAUUUCUGAUUGAGACUGAUGCUUCAGGCCAUGGUAUUGGUGCAGUUUUGAUGCAAGAGCAUCAUUCUAUUACUUUCAUUAAUAGAGCCUUAGGUCCUAGACUCAGUCUAUGAAAAAGAACUCCUAGCUGUCAUAUUUGCAAUCCAGAAAUGGAGGCACUAUCUUCUUACUGGGCACUUCAUCAUCGAGAUUGAUUAGAUCAUCAUCGAGAUUGAUUAGAAAAGUCCGAAGUAUCUCUUGAAUCAGAGGCUAUCCACACAGUUCCAAUUAGAUUGGAUGGCUAAGUUGCUAAAAUUUGAUUAUGAGAUCAAAUAUGAGCAGGUUAGGAAAAACAUUAAUGCGGAUGCACUUUCUAGGGUUCAAGGGGCUGAGCUGCUCCUCAUGGCUUUAGAUUCUAUUUCUCCCGAUCUGUAUUUUAAAAUUCAGGAUAGUCGGCAGCAAGAUCCACACCUUCAGCCGCUCAUUACUCAGCUGUAGAAUAACUCUUGUGCCCAUCCUCACUAUACUUGGUCUAAUGCUUAACUCUGAAAGUAACAUAAAUUGGUGAUGGGUGCUGACUUUAUCCUCAGGCAUACAAUCUUGACAUGGUUGCAUUCUUCUUCUACAACUAGUCAUUCAGGUAGAGAUGCUACUCUGCAGAGAAUUAAACAACACUUAUAUUGGAAGGGCAUGACUAAAGAUGUGCAAAACUUUGUGAGGGGUUGUGACAUCUGUCAAAGGUAUAAGUAUAACACUGUUGCUUCCCUUGGUCUGCUCCAGCAUCUCCCUAUUCUUGAGCUCAUAUGAAGUGAUAUUUCUAUGGACUUUAUGGACGGCCUUCUUUUUUCCGAUGGAAAAGAUGUUAUAAUGGUGGUGUUGGAUAGACUUAGUAAGGUUGCUCCUUUUAUAGCCUCAACCCACCCCUAUUCUGCCUUGAUUGUUGUCCAGCACUUCAUGGACUAUAUUUUCAAAUUACUUGAUCUUCCCAAUUCUAUUACUAGUGACAGAGACUAUUUUUCUUAGUGAUUUCUAGAAGAAGCUUUUUGCUAUUCAAUGAGUGGAUCUGCAAUUAUCUUCAGCCUACCAUCCAUAGACGGAUGGUACUGAGGUAGUUAAUAGAUAUUUGAAAACCUAUUUGAGGUGCAUGUGUAGGGUCCCUACUUUCUGGGCUAAAUGGUUUUCUUUGGUAGAAUGGUGUUAUUAUUAUGAGUUAGUAUAUGGUCAACCUCCACCUAUUCAUUUGCCUUAUCUUCUUGGAGAAUUCAAGAUAGACUUGGUUGAUAGAAGCCUCAAGAAAAGAGAUGAAAUGAUCCAAUUUCUUAAAUUUCACUUGCAAAGAGCUCAGCACAGAAUGAAACAACAAGCAGAUGCCCAUAAAAUAGAUAGACAUUUUCAAAUUGGUAAUUUUGCUUACUUCAAAUUGCAACUUUAUAGGCAGGGCUCUAUGGUGCAUAGAACUUGACAGAAAUUGGCUCCUAGAUAUUUGAGACAUUACAAGAUGGGUGCAGUGGCUUAUACUCUUGAGCUUCCUCUUGGUUCUAAGGUCCAUAAUAUUUUUCUUGUGUUACAAUUAAGAGGUGUAUUGGCUCUCACAAUUCUUCUACUGCACUUCCUUCCUAUAUGGAUUCUGAAGCAAUUAUGGAACUUGAGGCUAUUCUAGACAGGGUUCUGAUCAAAAGUGGAAGGCAGGCUGCUACAAAGGUAUCGGUGAAAUGGAAAAACAAACCCAUUGAAGAUGCCAAUUGGGAAUUCUACCAUGACCUGCUUAAGAAAUUUUCCUCCUUUAACCCUCGAGGUCAAGGGUUCCCUUAAGGGAAGGGGUGUGUUACAGGAGAAUCAAGAUGACCCACCGCAUAAGCUGCACAUGAGUCUUUAAUAAGAAAAAAAAGAGAAAAGUUAGUUGAUGAGCUGUCACUCUGUUAGUUGGUAUUCUGUUAGAAGUUGUUAGAAUUUUGUUCUGUUAUUAGCUGGCAAUUUGUACAUAAUUCACUAUACAUACUUGUAUCAUGAGUUGAGACUCGUAAUGACAAUUCCUAAAAUUCUACUAUAUUUCUUCUCUCUCUCUGUAUCUCUAAUUUUUAAAAUUCCCUCAAUUGUUCUGGAGAAUUGUUCUCCACAAUUUCCCAAUUCUCCUAAUAAAUUGAGAUAGAAUUACUUGAAUUUCCCUCAAAUUCCUAUGAUUCUAGUUUUACUAUAUCAGCCUGAGAGGAGAGAGUCAUCGGAGUGUCGUUGCAGGUAUCUAAAGAUCAAGUGUAUUGCAAAAAAGAAAUUGGAC